GUGUCUGUAGCUCAGUGGAUAGAGUGUUCUACGCAGGAGGUUGUGGGUUCGAAUCCUACCUGAUGUG
This 67-nucleotide transfer RNA is filed under the name Spinacia oleracea (spinach). It matches the Rfam family "tRNA". From Rfam's summary of the family: Transfer RNA (tRNA) molecules are approximately 80 nucleotides in length. Their secondary structure includes four short double-helical elements and three loops (D, anti-codon, and T loops). The record is from Rfam by way of RNAcentral. Lineage: Eukaryota; Viridiplantae; Streptophyta; Magnoliopsida; Caryophyllales; Amaranthaceae.